Molecule: non-coding RNA, 74 nt
Organism: Phrynosoma platyrhinos (Desert horned lizard)
Lineage: Eukaryota; Metazoa; Chordata; Lepidosauria; Squamata; Phrynosomatidae
Source: the annotation of a GenBank genome assembly
GAGCCAGUGUGGUGUAGUGGUUUUAAUGCUGGAUUACGACUCUGGAGACCAGGGUUUGUAUCCCUGGUUGUUCA